This 438-nucleotide ribosomal RNA is filed under the name Triticum aestivum (bread wheat). RNAcentral describes it as "partial small subunit ribosomal RNA". Lineage: Eukaryota; Viridiplantae; Streptophyta; Magnoliopsida; Poales; Poaceae. The record is from RNAcentral.
AUGACUAGGGAAAACCUUAGGAAGAGACACAUCAUCAAACCCCUUGAUUGUGUUUACUGCUUGGAACAAGAGUCUUGUUCUCACCUAUUUUUUGAAUGUAUAGUUGCUAAACAUCUCUGGGCCCACAUUGAGCAAUAUUUCUCUAAUUAGGUUGGCUCAUCCUUCGAAUCUGUCGCCAAAUUCUGGAUUGCUACCAAAAAGUGCUCACUUUUAAACACUGUUAGCUCAGCUGUCCUUUGGUGCCUCUGGAAAUAUAGAAAUGCUAUGAUUUUCAGUAACACCUCCUGGAUUUCCAUUCCGCAGGUCUUGAGGUUGAUCAGGAACAUGGUGAGGAACUGGGCGAUUCUCUCCUCCGGAUCGGACAAGGACAAGUUGAUGAGCUUCGUGGAAACCCUAACAAGAUCCCUCCAGAAACCGUUGGCGAUUACUUGUGGCUAA